This 253-nucleotide ribosomal RNA is filed under the name uncultured bacterium. RNAcentral describes it as "partial 16S ribosomal RNA". It matches the Rfam family "Bacterial small subunit ribosomal RNA", at positions 524 to 776 of the family's 1533-position model. The record is from RNAcentral.
UACGUAGGGGGCUAGCGUUGUUCGGAAUUACUGGGCGUAAAGGGCGCGUAGGCGGUCGAUCAAGUCGGGGGUGAAAGCCUGUGGCUUAACCACAGAAUGGCCUUCGAUACUGUUUGGCUUGAGACCGGAAGAGGUUAGUGGAACUGCGAGUGUAGAGGUGAAAUUCGUAGAUAUUCGCAAGAACACCAGUGGCGAAGGCGGCUAGCUGGGCCGGUUCUGACGCUGAGGCGCGAAAGCGUGGGGAGCAAACAGG